ACUACGGGGGGCAGCAGUGGGGAAUAUUGGGCAAUGGGCGCAAGCCUGACCCAGCAACGCCGCGUGAAGGAAGAAGGCUUUCGGGUUGUAAACUUCUUUUGGCAGGGACGAAGGAAGUGACGGUACAUGACGAAUAAGCCACGGCUAACUACGGGCCAGCAGCCGCGGUAAUACGUAGUGGGCAAGCGUUAUCCGGAUUUACUGGGUGUAAAGGGCGUGUAGGCGGGACUGCAAGUCAGAUGUGAAAACCACGGGCUCAACCUGUGGCCUGCAUUUGAAACGGUAGUUCUUGAGUACUGGAGAGGCAGACGGCAUUCCUAGUGUAGCGGUGAAAUGCG
This 338-nucleotide ribosomal RNA is filed under the name uncultured bacterium. Its description in RNAcentral is "partial 16S ribosomal RNA". It matches the Rfam family "Bacterial small subunit ribosomal RNA", at positions 338 to 690 of the family's 1533-position model. The record is from RNAcentral.